CUCAGUAAAGUUAUUUCAAGAAUUGUGAAUCAAAAGAAAAAUCAAUGGCAUAUUUAUCUUUAUCAAGAUCCAGGCUGUGCUGAUAUUAAGUCAUCAGACAAAGUCAUUCUUAUUCUAAGUUGUAUUUAAAUGGUAUUCAAAAUGGUAUUUAACUUGAGAAAAAAUAAUCUUAAGAAUUUUUUUUCUGCUUCUUUCCAAGAUCUUAGUGAAAAGCUUAAAUCUGAUUUUAUACUAUUUCUGCCCAAGCAACUACAUUAGCUGGAAGACAUCAGUGGCAAAGUAAUCACUACAAUAAAUAAAUAAACCCAAAGGGAAGAAUGAGACUGUGUGAAAUUAUAGAAUUAUAGCACAAAUUAUAGCAAAUUAUAGCACAAAGUCCAGAAGCAGUAUCCAAGUACAAACAAAAGUACUUAUAUUCUUUUCUUUUAUCAAAACUGUCAGUUUAGCCAUCUCUGCUAACUCCAUCAGCUUUUGUAACCGUUCAUCCAAGAUGGGAAUGGAAGCAUCCUUCCAGGAAUUCCAGGAUUCCUAGGACUACAGCAAGUUUUCUCUGACCACACAGAUCCAUCUCUGCUGAUCUCCUGCAGCAGCUCAAAUAAAUCAGCCAUUAACCCAGGUUUGAAGUCUGACUCAAAGAUGAAUUAGCUGACAGGAAUGCAAGGAAAAGAAAUGCGAACAGCAGAUAAAGGAUCUUCAUGCUGAGACUGGUUCUGGACAAAAUCUUACUCCUUGGACAGACUUGGCUCUCUAUUUAUGGAGUUGUAAUGAUUGCAUCAUAUCACCUCAGUGAACUGUUGCAAAAUAGUUCUUACCUAAGGCAACGGUGCAUCUUCCUUGUAUUGAAACACUCCUGUUUGUUAGCUGUUACAAAAGCCCUGAGAAGAGCAGCAGACUUAGUUGAACAUCUAACCUGCUAUGGCUAUAAAAGAUGGGAGGCUCAGGACUUGCA
Crotalus tigris (Tiger rattlesnake) is the source of this 949-nucleotide long non-coding RNA. RefSeq lists it as uncharacterized. NCBI's taxonomy places the organism in Eukaryota, Metazoa, Chordata, Lepidosauria, Squamata, Viperidae. The record is from RefSeq and is a predicted model, not a curated record. The transcript has 2 exons.